CGGAGAGUUCGGGCCAUGUUCAACAAACGAAUCAACCCCCAUUAAUGCCACAUUUUCCAGCAACUUUCAUGUAUCCUCCGUCGACUAAUGCGGAAAGUUCGGGCCAUGUUCAACAACCGAACCAGCCUCCACCAAUGCCACAUUUUUCAGCAACUUUCAUGUACCUUCCGUUGACUAAUGCGGAGAGUUUGGACCAUGUUCAACAAACGAACCAGCCCCCACCAAUGCCACAUUUUUCAG
Long non-coding RNA from Juglans regia (Persian walnut), 240 nucleotides. RefSeq lists it as uncharacterized. The record is from RefSeq and is a predicted model, not a curated record. The transcript is spliced from 4 exons. Lineage: Eukaryota; Viridiplantae; Streptophyta; Magnoliopsida; Fagales; Juglandaceae.